RNAcentral lists this ribosomal RNA (1261 nucleotides) under Lasioderma serricorne (cigarette beetle). Its description in RNAcentral is "16S ribosomal RNA". The stretch from base 1021 to 1179 matches the Rfam family "Archaeal large subunit ribosomal RNA", at positions 2544 to 2703 of the family's 2987-position model. Lineage: Eukaryota; Metazoa; Arthropoda; Insecta; Coleoptera; Ptinidae. The record is from RNAcentral.
UUUAAUUUUAAUUAUUAAUUUAUUUUUUUAAAAAAUUUCAUAAAACAAAUAUGUGAUUAGUAUAAGUAAAUUUAUUAAAAUAUAAAAUUCAUAAUAGAAUAUUAGUAUCGAAAGAGAAAUUAUUUUUAAUUUUAAAAGAAAAAUUUAAUUUUUGUACCUUGUGUAUCAGGGUUUAUUAAAUUAUAUUCUGUUAGUUUAAAUCUCGAAUUGAAAAGAUCUAAUUUUAUAUUUUUAAUUGUAAAAUAAAUUUUACUUAUAUAAUUUUAGAAAUGAAACGUUAUUCGUUUUUCAUAUAUCUAGUUAUGGAAGAAAUCUAUUAAAUAGAUAAUUUUAAUAUUAAAAAUUUAAUUUUUAAAUUAUUUAAUUUUUUAAAUUAUAUAAUUAUUGGGAUAAUCUUUUAAUUAAAUUAAUAAAAUUUAUAAAUGAAUAUAAAUUUUUAGAAUUAAAAAUUUUCAGUUUAUAAUUUGUUAUAAUUAAUUUAUUUAUAAAAAUAAUUUAUAUAAAUUUAUUUAUUCUAUUUCAUUAAUUUAAUAAAUUUUUUAUUAAAUUUAAUAAUGAUAAAAUUAGUAAUUUUAUUUUAAGAAUAUAUUAUUAUUACUAUAUUAUUAAAAAGAACUCGGCAAAUUAGUUUUCGCCUGUUUAUUAAAAACAUGUCUUUCUGAUAAUAAUAAAAAGUCGAGCCUGCCCAAUGAAUAUUAAAUGGCUGCAGUAUUUUGACUGUACAAAGGUAGCAUAAUCAUUAGUUUUUUAAUUGAAAACUAGAAUGAAUGGUUUAACGAAAAACUUUCUGUUUUUUAAUAAAAAUAUGAAUUUUAUUUUUUAGUUAAAAAGCUAAAAUAUUUUUAAAAGACGAGAAGACCCUAUAGAGUUUUAUAUAUAUAGAUUAUAAAUUUUUAAUUUUAUAAUUUAAUUAUAUUUUAUUGGGGUGAUAGGAAAAUUUAUUAAACUUUUCUUAAUUUAUACAUUUAUUUAUGAAUAUAUGAUCCAUUAAUUAUGAUUAUAAGAAUAAAUUACCUUAGGGAUAACAGCGUAAUUUAUUUUUAGAGUUCCUAUCGAAAAAUAAGUUUGCGACCUCGAUGUUGGAUUAAAAUUUAUAAUUAAUGCAAAAGUUAAUUUAUUAGGUCUGUUCGACCUUUAAAAUUUUACAUGAUCUGAGUUUAAACCGGUGUGAGCCAGGUUGGUUUCUAUCUUUAAAAUGAAUUCUUAAUUUAGUACGAAAGGAUCAAUUAAGAAUUAUAAUAAUUUAAUUUUGAAUUAAAUU